AUCUUUACAGCCUUAAAAAAUUCCGAAGGAAUUUAUUCUAUAUGUUUUAUUAUCAGAAUAGCUUCUCUUUCACUAUAAGAGAAAAGGCCUCAAAACUCUCUCUCUAUACCAAAAAGCCUCACAAUUUUGUUGAGAAGAAAUUAAUGGCUAGUUCUAACAAGAAGUUUGAGGUGAUUUUAGAUGAUCAAACUCCAAAUAAAUGGUGUGUUUCAUUAGGAGAUGAAACUUUCAAAAGAUUCUUCAGCAUGACUAAUCCAACAGUUCACAAGGUUUUUGGUGAUGGAUCACUUUUUAGUCCAAUGUUGUUUGGGAAAUUCUUUGAUCCUUCUGAUGCAUUUCCUCUAUGGGAGUUUGAGCCAGAUGUUUUAUUAUCUCAUGUAAGAAGUUCCAACCAAACCACUGUGGAUUGGCAUCACACAGAUGAAGGCUGUAUGUUAAAAGCUGAAAUACCAGGAACCGGGAAAAACAACAUUCAGGUCCAUGUUGAUAAAGGGAAGGUGGUGGAAAUCAGUGGACAGUGGAGGCAGCAAAGAGACUCAAAGACAAAUGAUUGGAGGUGUGGUCAUUGGUGGAAAAAUGGAUAUGUAAGAAGGCUUGAGAUGCCAGAGGAUGCAGAUUGGAAGAAUAUACAAGCAUUCAUAUAUAAUGACAUAUUCUUAGAAAUUAAAAUGCCAAAGAUCAAAAAGGGUUCUGAUCAUGCUCAAGGAUAAGACGUGGCUUGAGAUUCAAUUAUGCAGAAACAGAUUAAAAUUGAAAAGUGAGUUUGUAACCAUCUAUGCAAAUUGAUACUAAAAACUUAAGAAAGUUAUAACUCUCAAGUAUCAAUCUAAUAUCAGUAAUUAUGAGCAUGCCUUGUGAUGAUGUAAUAUAAAGACGCAAGAAGAAGUGAUCAUCAAAGGACUAUUGUGAACUACACUUGUAGUGAGGAGAUAGAUGGAUUCGGAUUACCUGCUGGGAAAAAAAGCAUGUAUUUACAUGUAGUAAACGAUUUCAGUCAUAAAUAUACCUUAUAAAGGUAUGCCGUGCAGCAUGUGCAUCUACGAAUACAGAAUCAAGAAAUGCCCUAAUUGAUCGUAGUACAUUUUUCUGCACAUCAAUGUUGAUGCGCUGCCACUUC
RNA transcript from Medicago truncatula (barrel medic), 1117 nucleotides. It is a transcript of the gene named 21.7 kDa class VI heat shock protein, with no coding region annotated. The transcript has 3 exons. NCBI's taxonomy places the organism in Eukaryota, Viridiplantae, Streptophyta, Magnoliopsida, Fabales, Fabaceae. The record is from RefSeq and is a predicted model, not a curated record.